RNAcentral lists this unclassified non-coding RNA (209 nucleotides) under soil metagenome. RNAcentral describes it as "partial contains 5.8S ribosomal RNA, internal transcribed spacer 2, and large subunit ribosomal RNA". The record is from RNAcentral.
AACCAUAGAAACCUGCGGAGUACCUGCGGAGGGAUCAUUUUAGAAUCUGGGUUGGCCUGAUGGGCUCUUGUGCUCUGACUGGCCGCAGACCUACCUUCAGCCUGUGGAAACGAGCUGUGCUUCGGUGUCCCUUUCUGGGCGCCGCCUUUAUGCUGUCUGCCUUGGUGUCUGUUACAUAAAUAGAAAUCAAAACUUUUAACAACGGAUCU